CUUUUCACACUGACUGCACGGGAAUGCAUUUCUCUCCAGUGUGAACUCUCAUGUGUCUUUUAAGUUGGUUUGUUGCUGAAAAACACUUUUCACACUGUUGACACAUGAAUGGUUUCUCUCCGGUAUGAACUCUUAUGUGUUCAUUAAGGUUACCACCUGUGGUAAAACUCUUCUCGCAGUGAUGGCACUUGUACGGUUUCUCUCCAGUGUGAAUUCUCACAUGUCUCGUAAGUUGACCCUUACACUUGAAACUCUUUUCACAAUGUUGACAUGCAAAUGAUCUCUCUCCAGUGUGAAUCCUCAUGUGGUUGUCAAGGCUGUUUUUUUGGGCAAAACUCUUUCCACACUGUUGACACAUGAAUGGUUUCUCUCCAGUGUGAAUUCUCAUGUGUGAAAUAAGGUUACCAUAACAUCUGAAAAACUUUCCACAAUGAUGACAUUCAAGAGGUUUUUCUCCGGUGUGAACUCUCAUGUGUAUCUUAAGUUGUUUUGCAUUUGGAAAACUCUUUUCACAAUGCUGACAUGGAAAAUGUUUCUCUCCAGUGUGAAUCCUCAUGUGUUCCUUUAGAUAACUUCCAGAGCGAAAACUCUUUCCACACUGACUGCAUUUGUAAGGUUUCUCUCGAGAUGGGUCUGUCUGCGGACCGCAAGAGAGGGGCGUGCCGUUAAGGGGUGUAACUUUUAGCAGGGGGCGUAACUUUAAGUUGUCCAAGUUACACAGAACCACGCGAGACGUCAGGACGAGAUGUUGUCAUUCUGUCUUCUCUUCUGCCCGCAUAGAGAUACGGCGGCUAAAGGCGUUAUUAAAGUUGCUCAUCCAAGCGCCUUCAUGUUUGUUCAUACCAAUUUUAAUGGACGGGAAGCCGACUGACGAACAUCCUUUUCCCGAGAAAUGGUUCGGCUACGACACAUGUUAAGAAGUCACGCCAGGGGCUGAAUUAAGGUCGACCGUUUCAGCUGCAUUGAUGUGAAGUGAUGCAGUGGACAACUUGUGAGGGUGAUACCAUCCACAUGCACCUUAACUGUGAUGCAGAAAUACAAUAGGAUGAUCCAUCUGUCUACACUUCAAAAUCACAACUCAACCUUAAACAACCCAUAUCUGUUAUGGUAAAACAAUGUGGUGGUUUUCCAGACAGGGCUUAUACUGUUCCCGGGCUAAAAUGUAUGUUUGAGCUACUGUAAUUAAGAAAACACCUUGUACUGACACAUCUCAACAUAUCAGUGCCAUUGUUUUGUUUCAAGGUGCACACCAGUCUUGUUUUUGUAAGGUUUGUUUGUAAAAACUAAAAUGUCCUAAUAUAAGUGCCCAGUCCUGGUUUAAUCUAAACCAUUGGUGACCAAACCUGUGUCUUGAGAUCUACUGUCCUGCAGAGUUCAGCUCCAACCCCAAUCAAACACACCUGAACCUGCCAAUCAAGCAUUUCAGGGCAACCUUAAAAUUAUAGUCAGGUGUGUUUGUUAAAGCUGGGUUAGAACUAAAAUAUGCAGGAGGGUAGAUCUCCAGGAACAGGGUGGGUCACCCCUGAUCUAAACAAAGUGUUUCCAAACUGUGUCCUGCAAAGUUUAGCUCUAACCCUAAUCAAACACACCUGAAGCAGCCAAUUAAUGUCCUACUAAGCAUACUAGAAACUUACUGGCAGGUGCUCUGAUGCAAGUGAGAGCUAAACUCUGCAGGACACCGGCCCUCCAGGACUGAGUUUGGGCACCCCUGACUAAGCCCUGUCUGGGAAACUGCACCAAUGUGUUAAGCUGGCACCAUUGGACAUUACUGCUGCUGAGAAACAACCACAUUUCUCAGCUCUACACAGGGUUGACAUUGGAUGCAUUAUUAUUAUAAAAUGCAUUCAUGUGCACUUUACCAAUACUGUACAUACAUCAACAGCUUCCAGCUAUACACUUGGGAUCAGCUCCUGAUGCCUCUCAUAAUGCUGUGUUAUAAUUUAUUGCAGGGUGAUCUUGCUAAAAGGAUAUUUUUAUAAACCUUUACAAUGUCACCAGAUGUUACCUGUUGUGAAUUAUUAUUUUAUAAACCUUUACAAUCUCACUAGUUGUUACAUGUUGUGGAUAGUUAUUUUUAUAAACCUUUUCAAUGUCACCAGAUGUUACAUGUUGUGAAUGUAAAGGUUUAUAAAAAUAACCAAUGUCACCAGUUGUUACAUGUUGUGCAAAGUUAUUUUUAUACACCUUUACAAUGUUACCUGUGUGAAUAGUUAUUUUUAUAAACCUUCACAAUGUCACCAGAUGUUACCUGUUGUGAAUAAUUAUUUUAUAAACCUUUACAAUGUCACCAGUUGUUACAUGUUGUGCAUAGUUAUUUUUAUAAACCUUUACAAUGUCACCAGAUGUUACCUGUUGUGAAUAGUUAUUUUUAUACACCUUUACAAUGUUACCUGUUGUGAAUAGUUAUUUUUAUAAACCUUCACAAUGUCACCAGAUGUUACCUGUUGUGAAUAAUUAUUUUAUAAACCUUUACAAUGUCACCAGUUGUUACAUGUUGUGCAUAGUUAUUUUUAUAAACCUUUACAAGGUCACCAGA
This is a non-coding RNA of Paramisgurnus dabryanus, 2536 nucleotides long. The record is from RefSeq and is a predicted model, not a curated record. NCBI's taxonomy places the organism in Eukaryota, Metazoa, Chordata, Actinopteri, Cypriniformes, Cobitidae.